GAAAAUGGUGACGCCGAGGGUGACUGAUUUCCAGGUUUACAUCGGUUGCCCCAGGGGAAGUGCCUGGCCCCCAUCUGGUCCUUGCUGCUCUAACUUUGCCCUGUUAAUUGAAGAAAUGCAGGAUCUGGAGCUCAGGACCCACUACCUCCCCGGCCCACUGCAAGCUUGAACAUUUGAUGGUGGACACCCCUCCCUGACUUUGUAUUAUGUGUCACUGGCGUGGGGGUUACCUUCCCACUAUGUCCCCCAGAAGACAUGAGGCCACAGACUGCAGUGCCCGUGGACAGAGGAGCUGUGGGGAUGGAAGUGUGAUUGCUUCAUUCAAAUGCACGCCCCGGUGCGUGUGCGUCUCUUCUGAUGCAGCGCCCCAUGGAUACCCCAUCAGCCUGAGUCUCUUAAAGGCCUUUAUACGCAUAUGUCUACACAUAGGGAUUUGGAUUAUCUCGGGAUCCCACAUCCUCGCUGUCCCCUGUCCCCCCGCAACAUCCCCCACCAAUACCUUUCUGAAGUUUUCUAGUCCCUCCUUUUUGUUUGUGCUCCUUAAAGCCCAGCCCCAUGCCUGACUUUGGUUCCCAGUGAGCAUUGUACAUUUGUGGAUAUUAAAUCUUUGGCAAAGUCAUUUA
RNAcentral lists this long non-coding RNA (623 nucleotides) under Pan troglodytes (chimpanzee). RNAcentral describes it as "lincRNA". The record is from RNAcentral. Lineage: Eukaryota; Metazoa; Chordata; Mammalia; Primates; Hominidae.